UACGUUCCCGGGCCUUGUACACACCGCCCGUCAAGCCAUGGAAGUCAGGGGUACCCAAAGUCGCCGUUCUAACCUUCGGGAAGACGGUGCCCAAGGUAAAACUGAUGACUGGGGCU
This 116-nucleotide ribosomal RNA is filed under the name uncultured bacterium. RNAcentral's name for it is "partial 16S ribosomal RNA". It matches the Rfam family "Bacterial small subunit ribosomal RNA", at positions 1367 to 1482 of the family's 1533-position model. The record is from RNAcentral.